AUGACCCAUAACAAUGGAAAAGAUACAAAAACAAAUGUAAAUACCGGUUGCGAUUUAGAAAAAUUAAAUUUCCAUUUAUUUCAAGAAAAUAAUAAAAAAAAUAAUAAAGAGAGUAAUAAAGAGAGUAAUAAAGAGAGUAAUAAAGAGAAUUAUAAAAAUAAAUUCGAAGAAAACAAAAUAAUAUCAUUUUUUAUUUAUUUUGAUAUUAUUAAAAAUUUACCUGAAAGAUAUUUUUACCUAAUUAAAGAUACAAAUUUUAUGAUGGAUAUUCACAAUGUGUUUAACUUUUUUAUUUAUAUAAAUAAGGAAUAUAAUAUUUUAGAAAAAAAAUAUGAAAAAUAUAAAUAUACGAAAAUUUUUAAUAAAAUUAAAGAAAAAAAAGAUUAUUAUUAUUAUAAUAAAGCUAAAAUAUAUUUUCCCAUAAUUAUAUCAGCUUUAACAUCUUCAACUUUAUAUUUUAUUCUAAAUAAAACAACCAUCUCAAUACAACAUUCAUUAAUUACGCAAUUUUAUAUUGAUUUUUUUAGUAAUAAAUAUUUAUAUACCCUAUGUAAUAACUAUAUUUAUAUACAAAUUUUAUGUGAAUCUUUAGUAGUGUUAUUGUACUUGAGCAAAUCAAAACAAGACACUACACAUAUACAAAAUGGAACUACCCACAUAAAAGGCGACACUACACACAUACAAGACGACACUAUACACAUACAAGAUAAUUACAAACAAGAGUUUAUAAAAAAUGAAUUAGAUAUACAAACAGUAAAACAACAGAAAGGUGAACAUAUGUUAAUACAAUCUUAUCAAGGAAUAAAACAAGAAUCUACAAAUCCAUUAGUUUGUAUGAAAAUAGAAAAUGAGUAUUUAAAUAGUACCAAUGAUAACAUUACUAAUGUCAGUGCAAACCAUGAUACAACAAAAAAUGUUGCUGCAACAAAUUUAAUACAUCUAUAUAAAUUAUAUACCAUUUUUUUAGAAGAAUAUUUAUAUAAUUUUAUUUCUUCAAUUAUAACACUAAUUAAAAAUAAUAGUUUAUUAUUAAACGAAUCAAGUUUUUGUAAUUUUUAUAAAACUAUAUGUAAUGAAUUAAACAAUAAAAUAAAACAAAAUAAUACAUCACAUUUUAAUACAUUAAUACUUUCAAUUCUUAAUUAUUAUGAUUCUUACAAUACAAAUACCAACUCGUUUAAAAAAUAUAAAGUAGAUAACAGAAUAAUAGAAAUAUGUGAUAUAAAAAACAAUAUUAAAAUGUUACAGAGAGUAAGAUAUAAUUUUUUAAAUACAUUUUAUCAGAAUACUCUUUCUUGCGAAUUAUAUUCAAAAGCUUAUUUAAAAAAUAUUAUUUCUGUUUUUUUUUCAAAACAACAUUAA
RNAcentral lists this long non-coding RNA (1362 nucleotides) under Piliocolobus tephrosceles (Ugandan red Colobus). RNAcentral's name for it is "lncRNA (ENSPTEG00000034964.1)". The record is from RNAcentral. Lineage: Eukaryota; Metazoa; Chordata; Mammalia; Primates; Cercopithecidae.